AAAAAAUCUGCAUAACACAAGUUUAAUGCUAAAUCUAAAAGACUAAUAACAGAAAUUGAGACAUACACUUUGUUCUUUGAUUCAUAUUGCACAAUGUUUAGCCCUGUAAGGGUGUGGUCAUUUAUGGGGAGGGGGAGUUGGCAAAUGGGAGGCAGGGGGGGGGAGGAAAAUUUUACCUUCAAAUAUCUAUAGGUCCAUAAAUUAAAAGAAGCCAAUUGAAUGCUUAGUAUUAUUGUGAUCUUUGGAACAUUGCAACAAAAUUUGCAAACUUCAGAACAAACUUCAGAACAUUUUGCCGAAAGUUUUGUGAAAUCAGUAUAGGUGUAUGAUGCAUCAAAAUCCAUUUUAUUAAAAUGUUCAGUUAUGGAAAAGUAAAUGUCUUUUGAAACAAUUUGACCAACAUGAAAAAACUAAAAUAGCUGAAUGUCUUGUAUACAUAAUCAGCUUUUUUUCAGUCAGAUUGGGGAGGGGGUAACUGAGCUUAUACUUUAAUAAUCGUUAUCAAGGGGAGGUGUCAAAAAGGUUGCCUUAAAUCUUAUUAAGGGAGGGGGAGCUUGAAAAGGUUUUCAACCACUAUUUCCCCAUCUUGCCAACCCCUCCCCAUAAUUCCAUUAAUAACGACCACUCCCGCUGUCUACAUUUCCAAUGUACUAUUAAAUCCCCUUUGUUUAUGAUGGUUUAUCAAUGUUCAUGUGCAAGUUCAUUUCAAAAAUCAUGAUACUUAUUAGUCUUCAGUUUGUGUGCCCUACUUUUGUGUUUUGUUUUAUAUUGUUUCUUUUCUUGUACUAAAUUUAUAGUAUUCUACUAUUCUUUAUACAUCAUGACCGUCUCUCUUCCUUGACUAAUGCUAUCUGUUACUAUCUUGAAUCCUUCUUUUUCGAGAAUAGCGAUAACGAACAUUUUCAUCAAUUUUGCUUUUGAAUCUGUCCACAACGGUGCACUCCCCUUUCGCGUUAUGACCAAUUCCAUAGUAUUUAAUAAUGUUUCAUAGCCUUUUUGCAAGUUGCAGUCUAGAAGAUCUUGCAUCUCGGACUUCACAGACAAAUCUUCAAUGAAUUUUGUGUUACCCCGCACACACACACACGAUUACAAUCGAUAUUUAUCUCGAGUUCCACGUACAUUUUACUGCGAGGUGAAUCAAAACCCUGUUCCAGAGGAGUUUUUCUCAAACUUUCUCAGAACUUUACUUUAUAGAGUAAUGGCGGAUCUGAUUCUGUACUUUAGGGAC
This is a non-coding RNA of Paramuricea clavata, 1228 nucleotides long. The record is from the annotation of a GenBank genome assembly. Lineage: Eukaryota; Metazoa; Cnidaria; Anthozoa; Malacalcyonacea; Plexauridae.